UGUUGCUACUCUAGGUAAGAAAGUAAGUCUGCUCAAGAGAAAUUAAAUAUUGUACUCACAACUUAUUUAAACCUUCCUUGGAGAAAACUUAACUGUCCUCUAGUAAUGGAUAGUGCUACUUUAAUCUUCCAUGAUGAUGACAUUCCUGCUUCUCACCCAGCGUUACAAAACCACAGAUUACCAUGAUGCUACUCUAGCAUGUGUUUUGCUGGGCUGGAUACAGUCUGUGGAGUCUGAGGGGGAGAGAGAGCUUGUGGGCAAGAGGAGGGGUCUGUUUGGACACUUUCUCAGAAGGUGGAAUUAGGAUAAUUUCCUUCCCUCUUAUGUCCUUCAAGUAUAGGUCUUCCUUGCAGAUGCGGUUCACUUCAAGAGCGUGCUGGUUCUCCAGUGCAGCAGCUGCGCUGCACCAGCACAGUCAGCAUGCUCUACCGUCAGAUCCUCACAGCCUCCUGAAGUGUCUAGGUGCACAAGAGGUUGUUCUGCCCUGCAAAAUGCCAGAUUGGGGCUUCUGCUUGCCGUGGGACUUGUGUGUGCAUCUGUUUGAAACAUCUUGUCUUAUUUUGGAUGCCUGGCUUGCUCUGUAGCAGAACCAUGUGGCAAGAUGCCUCUCACCUCAGAUGUCCAAGGAACCCUGUUGUCCUGUGACAAAACAGAGCUGGGCUCUUUUACUGAAGCUGAUGACUAGCAAGCCAAACUUGGGAAGCUCUAAGAAAUUGAGUCCCUAGCUAACAGAUCCAUACCUGCAACUAUAAUGUCAACAUGUGACCAUGAUUGUGAAAAAAGCUGCAUAGAUUUCUGCUCCUGGAAGCUUUAUCACCAGGCAACUGACAGAGACUAGGGAGGAAAAAAAAAAAAGGGGGGGGGGGGGGGGGACAUUUAAGAAAAACUUCAAGGAUUUAGGUACUUUUCCAGAUGCAAACCGGAGGUCCUAUCACGACAACUUCAGUAGGAGGUAAGAUCUUGAUGAUUGUUUUAGGUUUUGUAUUGCUCCCUGUUCUGGAAAUGCAAUUUUUUAUUGGAGAUGGUUGGUAUUUAAAAGGAUUUUCUGAAAGGGCUAGCAGUGGCUGCUGAUGUUAUCUGAAUCUCUUCCCUUUAGGACAGCAAGCUGAUGGACGGGUUGGGUUAGUAGUUGCAGCUUGACAUUAAAAAUCAGUUGUGUGCAUGUGCAAUCCUUUAAUACGGUAUGGUGUAACACAGACGAGGCAUAGAUACCUGCUCUCUGUAUGUGCUAGGGAGGCAGUAAAUAUCAGCAAGGGGCCAGGCAAAAUGCUGAACACUGAAAUCUGCUCAGCCACCACGUCUGCCUGGCCCUGCAUAUUGCAGCUGCUGGUUUGGGAGUGGUGCUUUCGAGAGCUGUUGCUGUCCUCUCCUGUGCACAUGCUCUCUAUGGUCUCCACCAAGCAAAGAUGGAGAAGAAGGUGGUUUUCCUGUGAGACAGCAAUGUGAUACAUUCCUCUAAGUCCGUUCAACCCUCCGCUGAGGGAAUAUUUCUUUCUCAGAGCUGCCAUCAGAAAGCCAGAGUUUUUUUGUUCAGUUUACAGGCGGUAGGCCCAUAGUAUCAAUUAUCCAGCGUUUUUGGUGGAGUAGUGCCAAAGUUGUGCAUCUCAGUUUAUGUGGGAUUGACCAGCUUUCACAUCUCUAUUACUCUGUGAUUUUGACUCUUGUUUUGCUCUGAAAAUUUUAGGCCAGCAUGCACAAGAAAGAUGACAGCUGCACCAGUGUCUGUCACUAAAGUCUGAGAAGUGGAAUAGUUUGUUGAUGUCAGCAGGGUUAUUUUCUAUUUCUCAACUAUGUGAGAGAAAAGUCAGAUCAAUUAUGCAUCUCACUCCUACAUAACUAAUCAUAGAAUCAUAAAUGGAUGGACAAGGGUAUUUUUCAGCUGACAUCUAGUAUGAUAAAUAAGUCAAGAUGAAGAGAUUAUUUUCUUCAGUUUGCUUUUUUCAUGUAAUGUAUAAUAAGUAGGUGAAUUGGUGAAAUAUAAUGUGUGACAGAUAACAAAUAAGUCACAAACUUUAUACUUUUGAAUGGAUGCCCUGAUGUGGGGGACUACACAUGUGCUCUUGUACAUAAUUUGCCAUGUCUGAUUUCACCUCGACAUUGAAGUUGUACUUUGAACUGAUUUCCACAGAUGGAAAGUCAGAUUUCCUAGGAUUGUAGUAAUUUUUACAGCCCUAAAAUUCUUGUAUUAGGAAUGCAACCAUGCAUUGAGUUUCUUAGUGAAUUUUAAAAGUAAAUUUAACGUAUUUACUUUUUUCAAGGAAUAAGACUUCAUUAGGAAUUAUGAUAUUAAUAGGUAACUCCUAAAUAGCUCAGCACUGCUUUGCUUUUCUGCAUUGUGCAAACCAGCCUCUCAGUCAUUGUGACUGUAAUAUCAAGGUGGCAGCAGAGGCAAGUCUUUGCUUCAUUGCAGAGUAAUUUAAGUGCAACAGCCAGGUGUGAUAUUUGAAGUGGUGGCUCAUAGUAACAUGGUUCCCACAAGGGAACAAUCUAGUUCCUUUCAGAAAAGCUUGCAUGACCAAUAGCCUCGCUCAAGUACAGAAUGAUAUCUCAUAGUCCCUUAGUCCUUGUCUUUUAGGUACAUCACAAGCGAUGAUGAAGGAAGGUAAGGAUUUUUUUUCUGGUGUAGUCCAUGAGUCUGUGAUGUUUUGUGGUAUGGAUCCAUAGUCAUGGAUUAGCCAAGCCCUUUUUAUUUGUUGGUUUUUAAAUGUCACCUUCUCAAAGCACUAACAGAUUGAUUCUAAUGAAGGCUAGAUCUUCUCUUUUUUGUUCUCUUAAAUUGUUCUUUGAUACGAUCUUCAACAGCUCCCUCCACUGACUUUUUAUAAGGAUAUAUAAAAUAAUAAAAACAAUAGUAUAUCAUUAAAAAAAAAAAAAACAUAUGUAGUAUCUUUUUAAUUAACCUGAAAAAGAAUGUAAUAAUAGCUUGCAGACACAGGAUGUAAUUUUUAUACGAGUUUAUGAAUUCCAAAAAAUCACUCUCUUUUUUUUUUUUUUUUUUUUCAACUCCAUAAGUUUAAAAAUAAAUAUUUGUCUGAUAGCAAAACACAGUGCUAAGGAUUUCAAAGUUUCCAAUAUGUCUAUAUUUGCCAGCCAAUAUUAAAACAAGCUUCCUGUACUCAUAAGAUUUAAUUUAAUACAGCCAUUGCUUCUGGUGUUCACUUUCUGUGAAACAUACAGGAAGGAUACAAAAUAAUGACUCAGCAAAAAGUAAUACUUGAAGCAAAAGAUGCACUUAGAUCACUUAAAUUUAAAUGGGGAUAUGUCUCCCACUGGUAGCUCUAGUGCUUUGAAUUCUGGAAAUAUUAUUAAGGCUGGCACAAACCUCUGUUUCAUCACAACCAUGUCACAACGUGUUAUGUGAUAUCUGUGUUAUUAUUCAUGUGGUAAAUUGGAACUGUCUUAUAUAUGAUAAGAUACUGUCCAUCAAAACAAAAUUUAUGGAAUUCUUCUCUUA
Molecule: long non-coding RNA, 3454 nt
Organism: Oxyura jamaicensis (ruddy duck)
Lineage: Eukaryota; Metazoa; Chordata; Aves; Anseriformes; Anatidae
Exons: 3
Source: RefSeq, a predicted model, not a curated record